This is a long non-coding RNA of Felis catus (domestic cat), 3750 nucleotides long. RefSeq lists it as uncharacterized. The transcript has 3 exons. Lineage: Eukaryota; Metazoa; Chordata; Mammalia; Carnivora; Felidae. The record is from RefSeq and is a predicted model, not a curated record.
UCCUGAAAAAGAGGAAUGAGCGCUCGGAUGGAAACCCUGGCACGCUCUGAAUGGCGAAGGGGAGACCGGCCUUGCGCCGGGCGCCUCAUGCUGAUUAUUUAAUUCCUCACCGCACUAGGGAGAAAUAUCUCAUCACCAUCGUCAUCUCCAUUUGCCGAGGCUCAGGCCAAAGAGCUCCAGUAAGGCGAGGAACCCCCGUGCUCACCCAGGUCGGUGUGACGCCAGAGCCCCAGGGUCUGAGGUCGGCCGUGUGGGGCCGUCCAAGCGAAGACGCCACCCCUCGGCUCAGCACUCUGCCCCUGCUCGGAGACGUGCUUGCAGAGCCCUUCCAUAAUAAACUCCGCUUGCUUGGAGCCUGGAGAACUCGCCUGCGUGCUCCAGGCCGGCUUGGUUUGACAAGGAUCUGCCACUCGGCAUAAUCCAAAGUCACCAGAUGCCUCCAACGUGGCGGAUCGUGUUCUAAGCUUACUCCAGCAGCAUUAGCUCUCUGGAUCUUCCCCACAGCACGAAGGAGGCGCCGCAACUACUUUCUUUCCACGUGACAGAACCGAGACUCAGGGCUGUGGUGGCACACUGGCUGAGAACUGGUGCCGUCUGCCCCGGCUCCGAGUGUGCAGCUCUACCAUCCAGAACAUACCGACCACAGCAGUCCACUUGAGGGAAGUCCCUCAACGGACACUCCCAAAGCCCUCAGCUGUGUGGAACAUGGGUGGGGCUAUAAACACCACCCCCACCUGCAACCUGAGUGACCCAGUCCAAAGGCAGCAUCCUAUAUUGCAUCUGUUAGAGAAUGCUACAGCGUGGGUGACUGGCAAGGCACAGCCGAUAAAAGACCAGGAACACCAUUGUGGGCUCAGCCCAGGUCGCUCCUCCCCUGUUUAUUCCUGGGGUUCUUUCUGCCUUGGGUCUCAGCCCCCACAGUCCACGGUUCUUUACUGCCAGGAUAAUCUUUUUUUUUUUUUUUUUUUUUUUUGCAACAAAUGAGAAGUCUUUUAACUAGAAAUGUGGUGGGUAAUUUCAAUGACUUUUCUUUAAGGGAUGCAAAUUAUUCUCAGAGUCCACAGCCACCAUCCGCCUCAGGGGGCAGCCUGUUUCACAGCAGAGAAGCUUGGGCUUGUGCACUGAGAAACCCAGAGAAAUCAACAGUCACAGCCCGCCUCUCCGCCUGAAUCAGAUGAAAGGUAAGCUAGUAUUUUAUGCACCCAGGCAUGCCUUCUCCCACUGCAGACUCACAGGCAGUUGUAGGAAAUGAACACACGGCGAUCCCAUAUACCCUUUGCCCUGCUUCCCCCAUGGUGACGUAGGAUGGCACCACACCCAGGCUACCCACACUCAAUCUGAGCCCGUCUGAUGCAGGUGUCCUGCUUUACUUGUUUUCAUCCCAGCAUGAGCUCUGUAUAACGCAGAUCCGACCACAUCACGCCCUUAGUUACAAUUUUCAGCAGCUUGGCACCACCGCCUUCUCGCCAGAGUCCCGAAGGCCGACCACCUUCCCAUCCUCACGCCCCCAAGCGUUGUGCUCUGCAGUUCCGACAGUCUACUUGCCAUUCUUCAGGUAAGAUGUGCCACUUUCUGUGGCUAAUGGUGUAUGUGUGUGCCCCCCCCAACACACACACACACACACACACACACACACACACACACACACAGAGCACUCAUUGCUAACCAUGCCUGCAGCUUUAGGAGCUGUGCUCUGGAUCCCCAAGUGCCCAAGCAAACCUUUAAUAAAAAGCUCAUCACACCAAUAUUAACAACGUCUUCACCUGCGCCCCCGCCCCACCUCUCCGGGGGCUUCUAGAACCACACCAAGCCCUGCUCAUCCUGUACCCUCACUGCCCGGCACGCUACCCAGCAUGGUAGGCCCACAGUCAGGACCGUGAGUAAACAAAAAGGAAGCCGUACAUGGGUGAUGGAGGAAGGAAAGGCAGGCCCCACGGCCAUGGAACGAAGGAUGGGCAGAAUCGUGAAGGAGUGAGGGCAGAGGGGCCGCUUGCGAGUAUGCUCACACCUUUCAGGUGGAUUGUGUGCCGGGAUCAGUACGCCAUCAGGGGCUAGGUGGAAAGAGCAGUAGACGUGGCAAACUCCAGCCCCAAGCUUUAGUUCCACUUACCAUCUCACAGGCAAGCCGCUCAGCCCAGUGCCCUCAUCUACCAUGUGUCACAGUACAAUAUGCCUCGGAGGGGUUUAAAUAGGGACUGGACAUAAUACAGACCCAAUAAUCGUACUAGCACAGGGCAAGUGAGCAGUGAACGCGGAGGGACACAUCAGCUGUAAGCCUAAGUAAUUCACUGUGUAAGCCACAGCUUUUCAUUUAUGGGUGAUUUUUCUCCCUCUUAUCCUCUGGGUUGACUAUAUAGAAUGACUUCAAAGCAGUUCGAGAAUAAAUUUUCAGCCUAUUAAGGCAAUCACGGGAGAAUAUGUUCUGGUCAAACAGUUCCAUAUAUGCCACAUAUACCCCAACAAUUUUCGAAGAAUUACAAAAACCAAACCAAACAAAAAAAACCUUAAUUUUGAAACCGGCCUGUCCACAAUUCCAUCUUCCUGUGAUGAUUCAGAAGACAUUACAGGGCUUCCCAACGAACGCCUCCGGGGCUAUGAGAGCAAACAGCUAUAAUCACACAGCAUAGGCCGUUUCGCUGGACAGACUUCCAGCCAGUCGAACCCGAGAUAAACUGGACUUUACCUAAAUGGAAAUUUAUCGCUAAACACACAAUUUAUCAGACUAGGGAAAAACUACAUUGUCACAAUACUCCUCUUCAGUAUCAGGUUUUCUUCUCAAUCUGGAUAAGACAUAAUGCUUGAUAAGGUGCGUGAACUGCUUCCCUGAGACUAUCUUCUCCCUGCUCGCCAAAAUGAGGUUCCUGGAGCCUACCGAACACACUCCAGAAACUCCGGACAGAAUGAUGAGCUUCCCAGUCCAAAUCUGCCUCUGUCCAAUUCAGACUCCAGUUUUAUCAAGCAAGGUUGACUGAGCCCCUAUCCUGUGAAGGCCACAGAAAGUAAGGCACAUCCCUGCCUUUUCACAGGCUCAUGACCUGGCUACAGCAGAGAGGCCUGGGGAGGGGCCAGGCUCACACAUGACAGCUACAGCCCCAGGGAAGCCAGCACGUGCCACAUCACAGACAGGGGAGAAUGUGGGAAAGAGCCAAAGGAUGAAGAGUCGCCCAGGCUGGCGGGAAGAAGCAGCCUGAAGCUCAGGCCGACAAAGCGUUCCGGGGAACGGACACCACAUGCUCCCUCUGCCCUCUCUGAGCUGAGAAAUCAGAAGUGUCUACUGUGCUUGGGGAAAAGUAAGCUGGAUUCCAAGCACUGAGACUGUGAAAGAAUCACGUGAAGAAAGUGCACCGUGUCCAUUUGUAUUCUCAUUAAAAUGGGAUUUUCCUGCCCUUAAACAGGAGCUUGGACCUGAAACCAAACCCUUGGGAAGGUACUACUUGAUAUUCUUGGGCCCUGACUGAAUUCCAUUAACUACUGACGGCCAUUAAAUAAACCAAUGAAACGCUGGCAGCCAUCAGUACAGGAGAACAGGGCAGACUCAGCUGAAACCCAUCCUCUGUGAUCGCCCCCCAGGCUCGUUCCCCCUCUUCAGCUCUGGAUGCACUGCUGUCCUGUAUUUGGGCAAUCUUCCUAUUCGUGUUUAUGAACUCUCACCACAUAGGAGUAGAUCUGUAAACAGUAUGUAGCACCACUUUUUAAAAAAUUUGUUUUAUUUAUUUAUUUAUUGAGAGAAAGGAAAGGAGAGGAGGGGAG